RNAcentral lists this long non-coding RNA (145 nucleotides) under Piliocolobus tephrosceles (Ugandan red Colobus). Its description in RNAcentral is "lncRNA (ENSPTEG00000025181.1)". Lineage: Eukaryota; Metazoa; Chordata; Mammalia; Primates; Cercopithecidae. The record is from RNAcentral.
GGUUUUUUUUAAACAUCACUGGAUUUCUUGAUUGAGGAAACAAGUUCUGAAAUAAUAGCACAAUUUCGAAGAAAAGACUGUUUGCAAAGUUGAUAACAUUUCAAACCCUGAAGGACAGUGGCUUAUUGUUUUCUUGAAGAUGGCU